AAUGGGCGAAAGCCUGACGCAGCGACGCCGCGUGGGUGAUGAAGGCCUUCGGGUCGUAAAGCCCUGUCGAGGGGAACGAAACGGUCUCGACCUAACACGUCGAGUCCCUGACGGUACCCCUAAAGGAAGCACCGGCUAACUCCGUGCCAGCAGCCGCGGUAAUACGGAGGGUGCGAGCGUUGUUCGGAAUCACUGGGCGUAAAGGGCGUGUAGGCGGUCCGCUAAGUCUGAUGUGAAAGCCCGGGGCUCACCCCCGGAAGGGCAUUGGAAACUGGCGGACUCGAGUCCCGGAGAGGAAGGUGGAAUUCCUGGUGUAGCGGUGAAAUGCGUAGAUAUCAGGAGGAAUACCGGUGGCGAAGGCGGCCUUCUGGACGGUGACUGACGCUGAGACGCGAAAGCGUGGGGAGCAAACAGGAUUAGAUACCCUGGUAGUCCACGCUGUAAACGAUGAGCACUAGGUGUCGUGGGUAUUGACCCCCGCGGUGCCGACGCUAACGCAUUAAGUGCUCCGCCUGGGGACUA
RNAcentral lists this ribosomal RNA (522 nucleotides) under uncultured bacterium. RNAcentral describes it as "bacterial SSU rRNA". It matches the Rfam family "Bacterial small subunit ribosomal RNA", at positions 370 to 882 of the family's 1533-position model. The record is from RNAcentral.